Molecule: ribosomal RNA, 845 nt
Filed under: bacterium enrichment culture clone R907-16
Lineage: Bacteria
Description: bacterial SSU rRNA
Rfam family: Bacterial small subunit ribosomal RNA
Source: RNAcentral
AGGACGAACGCUGGCGGUGUGCUUCACACAUGCAAGUCGAACGGAGUAGCAAUACUCAGUGGCGGACGGGUGAGUAACACGUGGGAAUCUACCAUUAGAUGGGGAAUAACAGGCCGAAAGGACUGCUAAUGCCGCAUAUGUAUGUGCCUCGACAGGGGCGUAUAUGAAAGGAGUAAUCCGUCUGAUGAUGAGCCCGCGUCCGAUUAGCUAGUUGGUAAGGUAAAAGCUUACCAAGGCGACGAUCGGUAGGUGGUCUGAGAGGAUGAUCACCCACAAUGGGACUGAGACACGGCCCAUACUCCUACGGGAGGCAGCAGUGGGGAAUUUUACGCAAUGGGGGAAACCCUGACGUAGCGACACCGCGUGAGCGAAGAAGCCCUUUGGGGUGUAAAGCUCUGUCAACAGGAACGAAAAAAAUGACGGUACCUGUGGAGGAAGCAUCGGCUAACUACGUGCCAGCAGCCGCGGUAAGACGUAGGAUGCAAGCGUUGUCCGGAUUUAUUGGGCGUAAAGAGUUCGUAGGCGGUUUGUUAAGUCUGAUGUUAAAGACCGGGGCUCAACCUCGGAAAUGCAUUGGAUACUGGCAGACUGGAGUGCAGUAGAGGCUAGUGGAAUUCCCAGUGUAGCGGUGAAAUGCGUAGAUAUUGGGAAGAACACCGGUGGCGUAGGCGACUAGCUGGGCUGUAACUGACGCUGAGGAACGAAAGCCAGGGGAGCAAAUGGGAUUAGAUACCCCAGUAGUCCUGGCCGUAAACGAUGGAUACUAGGCGUAGUGGGUAUCGACCCCUGCUGUGCCGCAGCUAACGCGAUAAGUAUCCCGCCUGAGUAGUACGGCCGCAAGGUUG